This 253-nucleotide ribosomal RNA is filed under the name uncultured bacterium. Its description in RNAcentral is "partial 16S ribosomal RNA". It matches the Rfam family "Bacterial small subunit ribosomal RNA", at positions 524 to 776 of the family's 1533-position model. The record is from RNAcentral.
UACGUAGGUGGCAAGCGUUGUCCGGAAUUAUUGGGCGUAAAGCGCGCGCAGGCGGUUCCUUAAGUCUGAUGUGAAAGCCCCCGGCUCAACCGGGGAGGGUCAUUGGAAACUGGGGAACUUGAGUACUGAAGAGGAAAGCGGAAUUCCACGUGUAGCGGUGAAAUGCGUAGAGAUGUGGAGGAACACCAGUGGCGAAGGCGGCUUUCUGGUCAGUAACUGACGCCGAGGCGCGAAAGCGUGGGGAGCAAACAGG